UACAAGACAGAAGCGCUCAAGUACUGCCCGAGCUGCUACACCUAUGUCCCGAAGUAUUACUGUGCGUAAAAGGAGUUUUCUAAAAAGAAAAAGAAAUCGUGCCCGAACUGCAGUGCCUUAUCUGUUACCAACUGCAUUCCUCAUAGUGUAACCGAUUCGCAAUUAUGGAUAACUAUGGCGUCGUGCUCCUGUUGGGUUUUGUAUUGUUGAUGCUUCGAUGGUCGACCACUGGUGUACCAUCUCCUUGGUAUGGUGCAAACCAAACCGCAACGCCGGCGCCUUCCUACACAACUUACGCAACGACCAGUUCCUGCACUGAGGUUUUCCAGUACUACACCACUAGAGCACCGGAGUUUUAUACCACAACUUACGCUGCCUCGAGCCACAACACUGACGCCCUGAAGUAUUACUCUGCCUCAAGUUACUACACCAUCUAGGCGACGGAGUACUACAUGACUACGCAUUCUGCCUGGAGUUACUAUACUACCAAGGCGAUGGAGCACUACAUGAUUACGUAUGCUGCCCAUCCUACUACACCGAGGUUCUAAUUGCUACACCGAGGCUCCCGCUUAUUACUCCACCAAAACAGCCGAGUACUACACCGAAGUGGCAAAGUACUUCUCUACCCAUCUACACAACGCAGUCCCGACCUGGUACGCAGAAGCUGCUGUUUCGUGCUAGGUUGAAGUGAAACACUACACAGAUGCUCCAGUCUACUACACCACGACCUACGCUACACCUAGCUAUAACACCGCAGCCCUCAGUACACCGAAGAAGCCGCCUAUUACACAACCACGUACGCUGCCUGGUAUACUACAUCGAGGAAUUUAACUAUUACUCUGCUCCAAACUACUAUCAUCUGAGGUUCAUAUGUAUUACACCAUCAAUGCUCCCGACUAUGUCACCUACUUAUGUUGCUUACACCUAUACAUGGAAGUUUUGAAGUAUUUCUCUGGAUGUGUUGAAAGAUUGCUGAAAUACAAGUUUGAUUGAUAAA
Molecule: long non-coding RNA, 997 nt
Organism: Daphnia pulicaria
Lineage: Eukaryota; Metazoa; Arthropoda; Branchiopoda; Diplostraca; Daphniidae
Exons: 3
Source: RefSeq, a predicted model, not a curated record